Molecule: ribosomal RNA, 108 nt
Filed under: Flavobacteriaceae bacterium R38
Lineage: Bacteria; Pseudomonadati; Bacteroidota; Flavobacteriia; Flavobacteriales; Flavobacteriaceae
Source: RNAcentral
UAAGGUGGUUAUAGCGAUGGGGCUCACCUCUUACCAUUCCGAACAGAGAAGUUAAGCCCAUCAGCGCAGAUGGUACUGGGAAACCGGGAGAGUAUGUCGCCGCCUUCU